This 363-nucleotide ribosomal RNA is filed under the name uncultured bacterium. Its description in RNAcentral is "bacterial SSU rRNA". It matches the Rfam family "Bacterial small subunit ribosomal RNA", at positions 28 to 393 of the family's 1533-position model. The record is from RNAcentral.
GACGAACGCUGGCGGCGUGCUUAACACAUGCAAGUCGAGCGGUAAGGCCCUUUCGGGGGUACACGAGCGGCGAACGGGUGAGUAACACGUGGGUGACCUGCCCUCAGCUCUGGGAUAAGCCUGGGAAACUGGGUCUAAUACUGGAUAUGACUCCACGGUGCAUGUCGUGGGGUGGAAAGCCUUGUGCGGCUGAGGAUGGGCCCGCGGCCUAUCAGCUUGUUGGUGGGGGAUGGCCUACCAAGGCGACGACGGGUAGCCGGCCUGAGAGGGCGACCGGCCACACUGGGACUGAGACACGGCCCAGACUCCUACGGGAGGCAGCAGUGGGGAAUAUUGGACAAUGGGCGAAAGCCUGAUCCAGCC